UUGGGGGGGCCUAACCAUGGCAAGUCGAGCGGUAGCACAAAGAGGGUUGCUUCCUGAAGCGAGGGACGGGUGCGUAAAGAAUAGGAGUCUGACUGGGAGUGGGGGAGGGGGAUCCCUUUUGAACGCUAGUACCGAAUACGUAUUACGGCAGAAAACAAGGGGGGGUCCUUCUGGGCCCUAGCGCAUGAAUAUGCGCCGAUAUGGUUAGAUCUUGAGGGAGAGGCUCACUCACGCGACGGACAAUAUCUGGCCGGGGAGAGAGAUCAUGCACACUCACUCUGACUCAGAGACAGGACCCAUACCCCUAGGAGGGGUGGGGAAUAUUGAUUGAUCACUGUGGGCCUGAUCCUGACAUGCCGCUCGCGUGUAUAAGGACAUCGGAUUGUAUAUGACUUACAGUUUCCGAGGAGGAAAGCGACCUAGUAUAAAACACCAUCGACUUAGGUUAUUCUCACAAAACAGGCGGGUAUGUCCGCGUCACCCGCGGCGCACAAAGGGGGGGGGCGUUAAUCUUCUCACUUUACUGAGUAAAACGUCGCUGGUUUGCUGUGUUGUAUGAGGUGACAUCCCCCGCCUCUCCCUGACUGCACUCCACACUGACUGACUACACUAUAGUCGAGGAUGGGGGAAUUUCCUGUGGGGUGGAGCAAUGAUUCGCUUAGAGAUGGAGCACUAUCGCUGUAGAAAACCCCCUCCCCUACAACUAAUCAUGCUCUCCUGCGACAAGGCGAGCAGACAACACUAGAUUACAUGCUGGGACACUCCGCUGUAUAUGAUAUCUACCCGUUGGAAGCGCUCAUCUUGAGAGGGUGCUGCAGAUCACAUGAGUUGACCCCCCCCGCGGAGGACACCCGCCGCGCUAGUAUUACUCUGAUUUGAUUGGGGGCGCGCCCCACACGCGGGGGAGGGUGGUGUAUUUCUAUUGCACGCGAAGAAAAUUACCUUGCUCCUUCGUUUUCCUAUGCAAAAUUCUUUAACAAAAUAUUGUUUGCGUCCCUUGAAAGAAUACUGACAGAGGCUGGCUUCGACUGGUCGUUCACAUCCGCUGCCGUG
RNAcentral lists this ribosomal RNA (1053 nucleotides) under Caldivirga sp. SS15. RNAcentral describes it as "partial 16S ribosomal RNA". RNAcentral also lists the same sequence under 1 other name. Lineage: Archaea; Thermoproteati; Thermoproteota; Thermoprotei; Thermoproteales; Thermoproteaceae. The record is from RNAcentral.